AUUGAACGCUGGCGGCAGGCCUAACACAUGCAAGUCGAGCGGAUGAAGAGAGCUUGCUCUCUGAUUCAGCGGCGGACGGGUGAGUAAUGCCUAGGAAUCUGCCUGGUAGUGGGGGACAUCGUUUCGAAAGGAACGCUAAUACCGCAUACGUCCUACGGGAGAAAGUGGGGGAUCUUCGGACCUCACGCUAUCAGAUGAGCCUAGGUACGAUUAGCUAGUUGGUGAGGUAAAGGCUCACCAAGGCGACGAUCGUUAACUGGUCUGAGAGGAUGAUCAGUCACACUGGAACUGAGACACGGUCCAGACUCCUACGGGAGGCAGCAGUGGGGAAUAUUGGACAAUGGGCGAAAGCUUGAUCCAGCCAUGCCGCGUGUGUGAAGAAGGUCUUCGGAUUGUAAAGCACUUUAAGUUGGGAGGAAGGGCAGUAAGUUAAUACCUUGCUGUUUUGACGUUACCGACAGAAUAAGCACCGGCUAACUUCGUGCCAGCAGCCGCCGUAA
RNAcentral lists this ribosomal RNA (500 nucleotides) under uncultured bacterium. Its description in RNAcentral is "partial 16S ribosomal RNA". It matches the Rfam family "Bacterial small subunit ribosomal RNA", at positions 30 to 523 of the family's 1533-position model. The record is from RNAcentral.